RNAcentral lists this ribosomal RNA (537 nucleotides) under Klebsiella pneumoniae. RNAcentral describes it as "bacterial SSU rRNA". It matches the Rfam family "Bacterial small subunit ribosomal RNA", at positions 59 to 591 of the family's 1533-position model. Lineage: Bacteria; Pseudomonadati; Pseudomonadota; Gammaproteobacteria; Enterobacterales; Enterobacteriaceae. The record is from RNAcentral.
AAGUCGAGCGGAUGAAGAGAGCUUGCUCUCUGAUUCAGCGGCGGACGGGUGAGUAAUGCCUAGGAAUCUGCCUGAUAGUGGGGGACAACGUUUCGAAAGGAACGCUAAUACCGCAUACGUCCUACGGGAGAAAGCAGGGGACCUUCGGGCCUUGCGCUAUCAGAUGAGCCUAGGUCGGAUUAGCUAGUUGGUGAGGUAACGGCUCACCAAGGCGACGAUCCGUAACUGGUCUGAGAGGAUGAUCAGUCACACUGGAACUGAGACACGGUCCAGACUCCUACGGGAGGCAGCAGUGGGGAAUAUUGGACAAUGGGCGAAAGCCUGAUCCAGCCAUGCCGCGUGUGUGAAGAAGGUCUUCGGAUUGUAAAGCACUUUAAGUUGGGAGGAAGGGCAUUAACCUAAUACGUUAGUGUUUUGACGUUACCGACAGAAUAAGCACCGGCUAACUUCGUGCCAGCAGCCGCGGUAAUACGAAGGGUGCAAGCGUUAAUCGGAAUUACUGGGCGUAAAGCGCGCGUAGGUGGUUUGUUAAGUUGA